GAUGAAGAACGCAGCAAAAUGCGAUAAGUAAUGUGAAUUGCAGAAUUCAGUGAAUCAUCGAAUCUUUGAACGCACAUUGCGCCCCUUGGUAUUCCGAGGGGCAUGCCUGUUCGAGCGUCAUUAUCACCCCUCAAGCUCAGCUUGGUGUUGGGGCCGGCCCGUCACAGGGCCGCCCCUAAAAGCAGUGGCGGUGCCAUCUGGCUCUACGCGUAGUAAUACUCCUCGCGACAGAGUCCCGGUGGUGUCCUGCCAGAACCCCCCAUCUUUUUAAUGAUUGACCUCGGAUCAGGUAGGGAUACCCGCUGAACUUAAGCAUAUCAAUAAGCGGAGGA
This 332-nucleotide unclassified non-coding RNA is filed under the name soil metagenome. RNAcentral's name for it is "partial contains 5.8S ribosomal RNA, internal transcribed spacer 2, and large subunit ribosomal RNA". The stretch from base 1 to 120 matches the Rfam family "5.8S ribosomal RNA", at positions 35 to 154 of the family's 154-position model. The record is from RNAcentral.